This 138-nucleotide ribosomal RNA is filed under the name Haemophilus influenzae. RNAcentral describes it as "partial 23S ribosomal RNA". It matches the Rfam family "Bacterial large subunit ribosomal RNA", at positions 2801 to 2925 of the family's 2925-position model. Lineage: Bacteria; Pseudomonadati; Pseudomonadota; Gammaproteobacteria; Pasteurellales; Pasteurellaceae. The record is from RNAcentral.
GAGAUGAGUCAUCCCUGACUUUAAGUCAGUAAGGGUUGUUGUAGACUACGACGUAGAUAGGUCAGGUGUGUAAGUGUAGUGAUACAUUGAGCUAACAGAUACUAAUUGCCCGAGAGGCUUAACUAUACAACGCUCAAG